UCCCUGGUGGUUCAGUGGUUUGGAUUCUGCACUUCCAAUGCAGGGGGCCCAGGUUUGAUCCCUGGUUGAGGAA
Non-coding RNA from Bos taurus (domestic cattle), 73 nucleotides. NCBI's taxonomy places the organism in Eukaryota, Metazoa, Chordata, Mammalia, Artiodactyla, Bovidae. The record is from Rfam.